This 190-nucleotide non-coding RNA is filed under the name Peptostreptococcus porci. RNAcentral's name for it is "6S RNA". It matches the Rfam family "6S / SsrS RNA". From Rfam's summary of the family: E. coli 6S RNA was the first non coding RNA to be sequenced, but its function was unknown until recently. It consists of 184 nucleotides that fold into an extended hairpin structure with a large single-stranded internal bulge. The record is from RNAcentral. Lineage: Bacteria; Bacillati; Bacillota; Clostridia; Peptostreptococcales; Peptostreptococcaceae.
UAUAAACUGAAACAUACGAUACGGCUAUUGUAAGUUCAACCUACAUAUUUUAUACGGGAGACUUCGUUCGUAUGUGAAUAUGAUAUGCUCGACCUAUAUAGCUUGAGAUUUCAGAAAGCGUAAGACGGGUCACCCAUCUGGGUGAUGCUCGGGUGUGAAUUUGAUUGGUCUACGGUGUUUUGGUAGUAAA